CCUCUCUCUCUCUCUCUCUCUCUCUCUCUCUCUCUCUCUAGGGUUCUCUAGUUUUGAAAUCAUACUGUUACAAAAAUGCAGCAGGUAGCUUCCAAGUUCUUCAAUGGGCAUCUCAAACCCUAGAAUCAGGGCAGCAAGAAGGGGUUCUUCCCAAUAAACUCAUUCCCUCAAGCUGUGAUAAUACAAGGAAGAAGAUUGGAUCCAUAUUUUCAAUGCUUAGCUGAGAAUGCG
This 231-nucleotide long non-coding RNA is filed under the name Amborella trichopoda. RNAcentral describes it as "long non-coding RNA (ATRI_LNC004028)". Lineage: Eukaryota; Viridiplantae; Streptophyta; Magnoliopsida; Amborellales; Amborellaceae. The record is from RNAcentral.